GUUGGACUCUAGGUUGGCAGCAUCCAAGAGUCAUUUUUGCUGUUAUUUCCAGUGUGUUUACUUGGGAUGUUUAUAUUCUACAUAGGAAAGAGACUACCCAACACCACCAGAACACUGGCCAAUGUGAUGGUAAAGGCUACUUUCAAACUUCUCUCUGACUGUCCAUGUGAACAUUUCUUUUGCUCUGUAAUCUACUGCACAGGAAGCUUGCACCAAGUCCUGAUGCCUCCACAUCCAAAGUACAGCUCAAGUACUUCCUGACUCCCUGGACUCCAUCACAGGUCCUGGCACACACUUUCUUCCUCUCGAUGGCACUGACAAUUUGCUGUGUGAUGGCUUGCUCCCAACCUUGCUUUUCAUGAGGAAAACGCUACCCAAUCAAGCACAAUCAAGCAAAACAUUAAUGUGACUGUGCCGUUCUUCUAAAUUAAAAUCUUUC
Molecule: long non-coding RNA, 439 nt
Organism: Erinaceus europaeus (western European hedgehog)
Lineage: Eukaryota; Metazoa; Chordata; Mammalia; Eulipotyphla; Erinaceidae
Exons: 3
Source: RefSeq, a predicted model, not a curated record